GUGAAACCUGUUGAAGAAUAGUAUUCAUUCUUCCAAAGAAUGCCAAGUGCCACUCAGAGGAAGUAAGGGGGAGUCAUGGGACAUGUUAAGGCAAGUGCUGAAUAUGGGGACCACCUACAGAGCAUCUUAACAGACCUUUCUCCCUCAGAGGGCCUAACCCAACCCCACUGCCCUUUCUCUUCCAGAUUUCCAUGUACUAACACCAAGAAGUGGUCAAGAAGCAUACCGCACUGCUCCUGGAGUCAGAGGAUCUUGAUCACAUUUUCUCCGUGUGCAGCUGUAAAGAAAUCUGGUGUGUCAGAAGGAAGAGGUGAGCGCAGGCCUCACCUCUAGCUAUUGAUGCUACCUAAAGCAAGAUCCUGAGGAGGCUAUGGCCCAGGUAAAUUACCCUAAUUCCCUCCAUA
RNAcentral lists this long non-coding RNA (404 nucleotides) under Mustela putorius furo (domestic ferret). Its description in RNAcentral is "lncRNA (ENSMPUG00000030038.1)". The record is from RNAcentral. Lineage: Eukaryota; Metazoa; Chordata; Mammalia; Carnivora; Mustelidae.